Molecule: ribosomal RNA, 473 nt
Filed under: uncultured organism
Description: partial 16S ribosomal RNA
Rfam family: Bacterial small subunit ribosomal RNA
Source: RNAcentral
ACACUCCUGCGGGAGGCAGCAGUGGGGAAUUUUGGACAAUGGGCGAAAGCCUGAUCCAGCAAUGCCGCGUGUGUGAAGAAGGCCUUCGGGUUGUAAAGCACUUUUGUCCGGAAAGAAAUCCUUGGCUCUAAUACAGUCGAGGGAUGACGGUACCGGAAGAAUAAGCACCGGCUAACUACGUGCCAGCAGCCGCGGUAAUACGUAGGGUGCGAGCGUUAAUCGGAAUUACUGGGCGUAAAGCGUGCGCAGGCGGUUUGCUAAGACCGAUGUGAAAUCCCCGGGCUCAACCUGGGAACUGCAUUGGUGACUGGCAGGCUAGAGUAUGGCAGAGGGGGGUAGAAUUCCACGUGUAGCAGUGAAAUGCGUAGAGAUGUGGAGGAAUACCGAUGGCGAAGGCAGCCCCCUGGGCCAAUACUGACGCUCAUGCACGAAAGCGUGGGGAGCAAACAGGAUUAGAAACCCUGGUAGUCCCA